Triticum aestivum (bread wheat) is the source of this 134-nucleotide non-coding RNA. The record is from Rfam. Lineage: Eukaryota; Viridiplantae; Streptophyta; Magnoliopsida; Poales; Poaceae.
AAAGUACUCCCUCCGUCUGAAAAUACUUAUCAUCAAAAUGAAUAAACAAAGAUGUAUUUAGAAUUAAAAUAUAUUAAGAUAUAUCCUCUUUCAUCCAUUUUGAUGACAAGUAUUUUCGGACGGAUGUGUACUUG